Long non-coding RNA from Sitophilus oryzae (rice weevil), 455 nucleotides. RefSeq lists it as uncharacterized. The transcript is spliced from 2 exons. The record is from RefSeq and is a predicted model, not a curated record. NCBI's taxonomy places the organism in Eukaryota, Metazoa, Arthropoda, Insecta, Coleoptera, Curculionidae.
AUAUUUUUACCAGAGUUAGCUUUUAGAAACGUGUUUUUUUUCGAAUUAAGCAAUGUGUGUGGCUAAAAUUGUGAAUACAAUACCUUAAAUUUGAGUUUGAAAAUGCAUACACGACCGAAGAAACAUAUAAGCUGCUAAAAUAAAUCUUCCCUAGAACUGUUGUACAAAAAAGAUAGAAGUUCCAGCAACAAAUUUAUCACCAGUUCAACCUUUGAUUUGAUGUAAACAGUAAUUGUUUCUUGAUGAGAAAUGCGAAUGAAAUAGUUUAUGGUGUGAUUGUGUUAGUGUUUUAUUAAUAGUUUUGUUGAUGCAGUUUAAAGGUUCAUAGUUUUUCAUUAAAACAUUUGAAAUUGACAUGUUUACAUGCAGUUUAGUGUGAUACCAUUUUAAUAAACAUUAAAAUCUUUCGAACUAGUAGUGGUUUUAUGGCGAUUGACAGAUUGAAUAACGAAAAU